RNAcentral lists this ribosomal RNA (254 nucleotides) under uncultured bacterium. RNAcentral describes it as "partial 16S ribosomal RNA". It matches the Rfam family "Bacterial small subunit ribosomal RNA", at positions 524 to 776 of the family's 1533-position model. The record is from RNAcentral.
UACGUAGGUGACCAGCGUUGUCCGGAUUUACUGGGCGUAAAGGGCGCGUAGGCGGCCUUCUAAGUCGAACGUGAAAUCCCCCGAGCUCAACUCGGGAACUGCGUCCGAUACUGGUGGGCUUGAAUCCGGGAGAGGGAUGCGGAAUUCCAGGUGUAGCGGUGAAAUGCGUAGAUAUCUGGAGGAAUACCGGUGGCGAAGGCGGCAUCCUGGACCGGCAUUGACGCUGAUGAGCGAAAGCCAGGGGAGCAAACGGG